CGUGCUUAACACAUGCAAGUCGAACGGUAACAGGAGAAGCUUGCUUCUUGCUGACGAGUGGCGCACGGGUGAGUAAUGCAUAGGUAACGUGCCCCUUAGUCUAGGAUAGCCACUGGAAACGGUGAUUAAUACUGGAUACUCCUUCUUCCUUAAUGGAAGUUGGGAAAGUUUUUCGCUAAGGGAUCGGCCUAUGUUGUAUCAGGUAGUUGGUGAGGUAAUGGCUCACCAAGCCUAUGACACAUAGCGGGUCUGAGAGGAUGAUCCGCCACACUGGUACUGAGACACGGACCAGACUCCUACGGGAGGCAGCAGUGGGGAAUAUUGCACAAUGGACGAAAGUCUGAUGCAGCAACGCCGCGUGGAGGAUGACACAUUUCGGUGCGUAAACUCCUUUUAUAUGAGAAGAUAAUGACGGUAUCAUAUGAAUAAGCACCGGCUAACUCUGUGCCAGCAGCCGCGGUAAUACGGAGGGUGCAAGCGUUAUUCGGAAUCACUGGGCGUAAAGGGUGCGUAGGCGGUUUGAUAAGUCUGAUGUGAAAUCCUAUGGCUCAACCAUAGAACUGCAUUGGAAACUGUCAAACUAGAAUACUGAAGGGGCAGAUGGAAUUAGUGGUGUAGGGGUAAAAUCCGUAGAUAUCACUAGGAAUACCGAAAGCGAAAGCGAUCUGCUGGGAAGUUAUUGACGCUGAGGCACGAAAGCGUGGGGAGCAAACGGGAUUAGAUACCCCGGUAGUCCACGCCCUAAACGAUGAAUGCUAGUCGUCGGAAAGCUCGUCUUUUUGGUGAUGCAGUUAACACAUUAAGCAUUCCGCCUGGGGAGUACGGUCGCAAGAUUAAAACUCAAAGGAAUAGACGGGGACCCGC
RNAcentral lists this ribosomal RNA (864 nucleotides) under uncultured bacterium. RNAcentral's name for it is "bacterial SSU rRNA". It matches the Rfam family "Bacterial small subunit ribosomal RNA", at positions 43 to 924 of the family's 1533-position model. The record is from RNAcentral.